Molecule: long non-coding RNA, 401 nt
Filed under: Musa acuminata (dwarf banana)
Lineage: Eukaryota; Viridiplantae; Streptophyta; Magnoliopsida; Zingiberales; Musaceae
Description: long non-coding RNA (MACU_LNC000977)
Source: RNAcentral
CGAGCUAGAGCUUUUGAGAAGAAGUAUAGGACACUGCGACAGCAUUGGGUGGUUCUCACAUUGUCCCAAACCAUCACUUCAUGAUCAUCAGGGUGAACGCAUUCCCCGACCGGUUGAUAAGGGAAUGCAUCAAAGUCCAGAGUGCAAGCUGAUGUCAAGAACAACAAGUCAGUAAAGAGAACUACAGAAGCACUUGAAUUAGGCAAACAAAAGCAGGUCAGCGCAAUAGAGGAUUAAAACUACACUGUACUGCCAAAGACCUGUUGAAUUUGUUGAGCUGAGGAAGAGGGAGAGGAUUGUGAGAAGCACUGCAACAACCUUCAUCCUUGUUUAGGAAGUUGUUUCUGGAGAUGGAAUUAAAAGAGGGAAUGACGUGCAUGCUUUGAUUUAGCUGUGUCAUC